RNAcentral lists this ribosomal RNA (253 nucleotides) under uncultured bacterium. RNAcentral's name for it is "partial 16S ribosomal RNA". It matches the Rfam family "Bacterial small subunit ribosomal RNA", at positions 524 to 776 of the family's 1533-position model. The record is from RNAcentral.
UACGUAGGGGGCAAGCGUUGUCCGGAAUCAUUGGGCGUAAAGAGCGUGUAGGCGGCCAGAUAAGUCCGCUGUGAAACCUCGAGGCUCAACUUCGAGCUGUCGGUGGAAACUGUCUGGCUAGAGUCCGGAAGAGGAGAAUGGAAUUCCUGGUGUAGCGGUGAAAUGCGCAGAUAUCAGGAAGAACACCCGUGGCGAAGGCGGUUCUCUGGGACGGUACUGACGCUGAGACGCGAAAGCGUGGGGAGCGAACAGG